Formica exsecta is the source of this 399-nucleotide long non-coding RNA. RefSeq lists it as uncharacterized. The transcript has 2 exons. The record is from RefSeq and is a predicted model, not a curated record. NCBI's taxonomy places the organism in Eukaryota, Metazoa, Arthropoda, Insecta, Hymenoptera, Formicidae.
AUCGAGGCAUGUUUGUGUCAUCUCUGUUGUAGACUUUGUUUUGCAGCAAUCUUGGCAAGAGUUUUUUCAUAUCAAUUCUGGAUACAACUGUCUCGCAGCAGCAAUUUAUUCGUUCGCGAUCUCUUCGGUCCAUGUCGAAGAUUCUUCUAGGUUCUUCUGAAUCAGUCUUUUCUGCCACCACUUGGCCGUUCUGAAUUCUGAUAUCACAUAGAGAUAAGAAGAAUGGAUCAAGGAUCAAGCACCUCAGCUAAUUGAUAUCCUAUGUCAUCGACCAGGUACUAUUAAAGACGGGGCCUUAUAGGAAUUAGCAUGAGCAGAAAAAAAAGUUUGCUACGUGCUACUGUAGAUAUAUAGAUCUUUGUAUUGUCGGUAAUAAAAUUGCGAUUUUUUAGAAUAAAA